Molecule: ribosomal RNA, 585 nt
Filed under: uncultured bacterium
Lineage: Bacteria
Description: bacterial SSU rRNA
Rfam family: Bacterial small subunit ribosomal RNA
Source: RNAcentral
CCUACGGGAGGCAGCAGUGGGGAAUUUUGGACAAUGGGCGCAAGCCUGAUCCAGCAAUGCCGCGUGAGUGAAGAAGGCCUUCGGGUUGUAAAGCUCUUUUGUCAGGGAAGAAACGGUGGGGGCUAAUAUCUCCUACUAAUGACGGUACCUGAAGAAUAAGCACCGGCUAACUACGUGCCAGCAGCCGCGGUAAUACGUAGGGUGCAAGCGUUAAUCGGAAUUACUGGGCGUAAAGCGUGCGCAGGCGGUUUUGUAAGUCUGUCGUGAAAGCCCCGGGCUCAACCUGGGAAUUGCGAUGGAGACUGCAAGGCUUGAAUCUGGCAGAGGGGGGUAGAAUUCCACGUGUAGCAGUGAAAUGCGUAGAGAUGUGGAGGAACACCGAUGGCGAAGGCAGCCCCCUGGGUCAAGAUUGACGCUCAUGCACGAAAGCGUGGGGAGCAAACAGGAUUAGAUACCCUGGUAGUCCACGCCCUAAACGAUGUCUACUAGUUGUCGGGUUUUAAUUAACUUGGUAACGCAGCUAACGCGUGAAGUAGACCGCCUGGGGAGUACGGUCGCAAGAUUAAAACGCAAAGGAAUUGACGG